CACCCCUACGGCCUAAACAUUCCCUCCCCAGGUCCCUGGAGAGUGGUGGAAAGCGGUUCCUCCCCGCUUAGGCCCUUCGGAUGCAGGUCUAGCCCGUCGGCAACGGGAGGUGUCCUGAGUGGGUCUGUGACUGCCGAGCACACCCGCCGCGGAGCGGAGGCUGCUGCUUCCUGAGGCUGAGAGUGGAUCCGGCUCCGGGCUCUCCUAAUUGGCGGACGCUGGGGGGCGGCGUGAACCCAAAUCCUCAGAGCUGAUCGAGAAGCGCGUGUUGUUGCAGAAGUCACUGAGGGGCAGACCUGGAAUGUGAGCCGUGGGGCGAAGGGACAGCUCUGGAGACUCGUGAUUCCGGAACCCGGUGGGCAUUCAAGUGAUACUGGAGCACGCAGUUUUCGGGGACAUUAAGCUCGCCCCAGGGGUCCACAGGAACCCUCUGACCCAACGGUCUCUCUGGACAGGAUGAUCCAGAACAGACGGUGAAGAGACAAAACAGCGUGAAAGGGAGCGGCGAUACCUAAACUGACCUCCGGAGGGCAGCAUGAUCAAGGGAAGGAGCUGUUCUCGCUCCGCUCAAACCCCCGCGCAGCCUCUGCAGCUUACUCCUGCUUCGGAAGGCGGCGAGGUUCCACCCCCACCACCCCGGUCCCCGCCGCCCUCUUCGCGCUGAAGCUGCGGAGGGUCUUU
This 681-nucleotide long non-coding RNA is filed under the name Homo sapiens (human). RNAcentral's name for it is "non-protein coding lnc-VPS52-1:1". Lineage: Eukaryota; Metazoa; Chordata; Mammalia; Primates; Hominidae. The record is from RNAcentral.